CGGUUAGGAAGCAAUUUAAUUUCUCAAAAGAUUAAAUGCCACUAAUAAAUUAAAAAAAUAAACUAAAAAUCAACACCAAAUUAAUGCCAAAGCUUUAAACCAUAUAUUACUAAAUUAAUUCACAUACGCCAUCAAAAAAAAAUUCAUGUCACAAACCCAUACUCAUAAAACUCACUUUCCAGGUACAAAGUUUGUAGCAUAUGACCAUGCAUUGUUUGCAACAGGGUCAGCAAGGUGGUCAGCGAGGUUCUCCAAUGGUCCCUUUCCGGUAACAAUGGCUUGAACAAAGAAUCCAAACAUAGAGAACAUGGCUAGUCUACCGUUCUUGAGCUCCUUCACUUUCAGCUCAGCAAAUGCCUCUGGGUCAUCAGCCAGACCCAAUGGGUCGAAGCUACCACCAGGGUAAAGUGGGUCAACUACCUCACCAAGAGGUCCACCAGCAAUUCUGUAACCUUCAACUGCACCCAUCAAGAUCACUUGGGUAGCCCAGAUGGCUAAAAUGCUUUGUGCAUGGAUCAAACUUGGGUUCCCCAAGUAGUCAAGACCACCCUCACUAAAGAUCUGGGAUCCAGCCUUGAACCAUACAGCCUCACCAAACUUGACACCAUUACGCGCCAAGAGUUCGGGGAAGACGCACCCAAGAGCUCCGAGCAUGGCCCAUCUGCUGUGGAUGACCUCAAGCUCACGGUUCUUGGCGAAUGUUUCAGGAUCAGCAGAGAGCCCAGCAGUGUCCCAACCGUAGUCACCGGGGAACUCACCGGUCAGGUAAGAUGGGGCUUCGCCGGAGAAUGGGCCAAGGUACUUAACACGGUCGGGGCCGUACCAUGGACUUCCUGAUGGUGCGACUUUCUUGACUGCUGUCUUCCUCAUGGAAACCCUUCCAUUUCCGGUGAUUUCUGAACCAGAUGGUGUUAUUUUCACUGCUUGUCCGAUGAAUGAAGAAGAUACAGACAUAGUGGAAGCUGCCAUUCUGUUAAAUUUGGUUGAAAGAUGUUGUGGAGAUAGGAGAGUUUGAGUUAUGAAGAUGGGGAGAUCUGCAAGUUUAUUUAUAAGGUGGUUUUUUGGUCAGAUAGAUAUGAUCGAUGCUUAUCUAGAUACAAUCUUCACCUUCAUUUUGAUUGGCAAACAACAUUCUAGUUUUAUCUAAGGGUCAGUAAUCUGCGUGCUGUGAGUUCUCUGGUCCACCAGAGAUUUUUGAAGGGGCUGCGGUAUAUUCAUGGCUCUGGUUUAUUGAGGGAAUGUAAUGGCUCCCAUUCUCAGCCACAAGCUGUUCUUGGUGGGGUUUUUCAUCUUUAACCAUUUUACAUUUUCACAAAGUUACAUAAAUAGUCAUCAUGCUUUACAAAGUCACCGGUUCAGCAACAAACUUUUUUUCCAUGAUUAAAAAUUCAAAACGGUCCGUAUGGUUUUAAUAUUAUUAGUAAUCAUCUUAACAUUUCUAAUUUUUAAAGACAAAUAUUCAUAUAAAUGGUUAUGUGAUUUUCCAGAAUAUCAAGUGGAGCACAUCAUUUUUUCGGUCUUAUGGAAUGACUAUUUGGUUUCAAUUCCUAUCAUAAUUGAUCUUAGAGCAUCCACAAUAGGGGAGUUUAAUGGAAGAGUUGAAUGAGGUGUCAUGCCUACUUGUCAUUCAAUGGAUACAACUCCACCAUUGUGAAAUGCCACCUUGGCAUUCAAUGAAUUUGGAGUUCAAUGGUCAUUGAACUCUUCAAUGGGAAAAAGGAAAAUCUUUAAAUCUUUAAAUAAAUAUUUUUUAAUAUAUUCCAUUGAACUUGUAGAGUUUAAUGCAUUGUGGGAUAAAAAUGAAAAGAGUUGUAUGGAAUAAUGAAUGAUGACGUGACACUCCAUUGAACUCUAUAGAGUUCAAUGCAUUGUAGAUGCCCUUAGUCCCACAUAAAUAAACUUUUAUACCCUUCUAUAUUAUAAUUAGUUUAUUUAAUAUAUAAAUAGCUAUGUUUUAUAGUUAACAAUAAAUUUUGUUCAUNNNNNNNNNNNNNNNNNNNNNNNNNNNNNNNNNNNNNNNNNNNNNNNNNNNNNNNNNNNNNNNNNNNNNNCUCUCUCUCUCUCUCUCUCUCUCUCCCAUCACACCCUCCUAAUCUUUAUUUCUUUCACUCGAUCGGUCAACCUCUUUUCUUUCUACAUAAAAAUUAAUCCAAAAUGCAGCCUUUUCCCAUACUCUGUGCUUGCACCGCCACUUUACCUUCUUGAAACCAAAUUACUAACCAUACACAAGUCUACAAAUCUACUAAUGUGUCUUCCAUUUCUCAAAAUCGAAAAAUAGAGAAGGUGUAGAACAUUGAGCUCACUUCUGUGCAUCUCCCACCUCUUUUACACAAAUAUGAAAUUAAAAUUGAAGAACAACUUUGUGAAGAACCUAGAUUGUGGAGAUGAUGAUGAAUAAAGUCGAUAGUUGGUGGUGCUCGGUGAUGUUUGAUGUUAGCGGCAGUACACUAGUGUUGUGGUGAUCGCCUGUUCAGUUGGUUAUAUUCUGGUAGGGUGGACGAUGGUGACCGUAGAACAGUUCAUAUAUAUAUNNNNNNNNNNNNNNNNNNNNNNNNNNNNNNNNNNNNNNNNNNNNNNNNNNNNNNNNNNNNNNNNNNNNNNNNNNNNNNNNNNNNNNNNNNNNNNNNNUAUAUAUAUAUAUAUAUAUAUAUGUGUGUGUGUGUGUGUGUGUGUGUGUGUGUGUGUGUGCGCGCGCACACUACAAGAAAUUUAGGUGUUUAUCCACACACGUUAUAUGUGGCUAAAAGACCUUUAUGUGUAGUUAUCUUUAGCUACACACAGAUUAAGUGUCAUAAUGUAUUGACUCAUGCCUAUAGAUAUAUAUCAUUAACUAUACAUUCAUUAUGUGGAAGUAUAGUGCAAUUAGUACACACAUACAUGUGUGGUUAAAACUAGUAAGUAUGUGCAUAUAGAAAGGGAGCUGAUCCGUUCACAACAAUUUUUCUCCAUACACAAUAAUUGAUGCUUUAAAAUGUUGUAUUAUACAACUAUAUAAUGCAUGAAUUGUUGUGUAUGGCAAAAAACUGUUGUGUACGAAUCACUUCCCAUAUAGAAGUACUAAAAAUUGUUUGAGUUGUCAACGAUGUGGCUGAUGACAUGUCAAAUUAUGUGGCAAGCCCACACAAAGUGUUGGUGAUAUGUGUUAUUCGAUAUGUGUGGGUAAUAAUUGUUAUAUGUGUAGGUUAAGAUAAGAUAUAUGAAAUAUAUAAAACACAAUAAAUGAAAUAUAAAAUUUAACAACACAAAUUGUUAUUACUUUUAAUAAGGAGUUAACGAUAUAUAAAACUUCUUUUGGAAUGGAAGUAUGUAGCACCCAAAGUCAGAAAGGCCAAGAAAGGAAAGGAAACCCUAAGUUUAAGGGACGACUCAGCAAGUCCAAGGAGGUACUCGGCGAGUCCGAGCGGGAUCCGGGUCGAGGAGUAAAUGACCGACUCGGCGAGUCGGCCAAGGAGACUCGGUGAGUCUGGUCUGUACGAGGAAAUCCCUAAAUUCGGGACUUGGAGCCUAUUUAAGCGCCUCAUUCUCUUCUCUAGGGUUCCUCUACUGCCUCUCUAACCNCUCAACCCCACCCCCGCCCCGCCAUAUCCAUUGUUGAGCCAAUUAUUGCUUUGAAGAGUGCAUUAAAGCUUGGAGAAGGAAGAAGGACCUUGGAGGUGCAAGAAGGAGCUAUAGAUCUGGGCUUGGGAAGAUAUUUCUGAACAUUUGGAGGUAAUAAACUAGUUCUUGGACUCCUUUGCACCUAGAUCUAUGUGUGAGUUUUGGGGCUUUUGGCCAUGAUUGGUACCCAUUUAAGUUAGAAGCCAGAUCUAAAGUUGCUACUUCGGAUAUAAGCAUAUUAUGGGCUUGUGAAGCAUAAAGUAUCAGCCCUUGAGUUGAUUAUGGAGCCUCUUUGCAUUAAACCCUAUUUUAUGGUGUGUCUAGCCUAGAUCUCCUUCUCUACACGUAAAGUUUGCAACUUUACGUGAGGAAUAGGCUUGGGAAGGGUAGAUCUACAGUUUGGGGUCCAUGCAUGACUCAAAAGUCCUCUACAUGUAUGUAGAUCUGAAUGGACUCGGCGAGUCCUUUGAGUGGACUCGGGGAGUAGCAUGAAGAUUAGGAGGAACUCAACGAGUGGGAUGAACAGCUCAUCGAGUCGGAUGAAGUUGGGCAGGAACUCGGCGAGUUGGAAGAACAACUCGGAGAGUCGGUUGAAGAUUGCCUUGGACUAGGUGAGUCUGUUCUUGGACUCGGCGAGUCAGGUCGCGAAACCCUAAACCCUUCGACUUGAGACUCGAAUCAGUGAGUCGAGUGGAGACUCGGUAAGUUGGACAGGUCAGGACUCGGAAAUCGGUAGACUCGGCGAGUCAUGGACUGACUCGGUGAGUCGAGUCGCGAUUGGAAGGACUUAGAGCAUAUGAACUCGGCGAGUCAAUAGGUAGACUCGGCGAGUAGGGUUGACCUGGAAGAUUGACUUUGAACAGGACUUUGACUUUGACCAGAGUUGACUUAGUUGACUGUUGGGGGUCAGUUAGUCUAAGUGUUUCAUUGAUAUUGGUAGCUCGGGGAGCUAGUGGAGCAGGAGUUCAGAGAGUUUCCGGGCAGCAUCCAGAAGGUUAUCAGCAUGUUCAGCAAGUGCAUGUGAGUUUCCCUUUGUGCCAAUGGGUCUACGGUCACAAUGUCGGCCCAUGUAGUUAUGAGUAGAAGACCCGGGGGUUAGCCCUAGGCACAGUAUGCUAGUAUGAUAUUCAGGACGAGGUCCAAUGAUAGCGGGCGGGUGCCCAAGGAAUGGUUUAUGUGAUAGUUUAUACUUGUUGUAUGUGUGAUACUUGUAUGUGUCUGGUAGGGAGGUGAGUGUGGGCGAGGUCCCGUAUCUCACCAAUAGCAGAGUGUGGAUGGUGUUCCACAUCUCAGUAGCAGCAGAGCAGGGGCGAGGCCCAAGUUAGGGAAGGAGUGAGGGUGGGCUGGGCCCGUACCUCACUAUCAGCAGGAGUAUGGACGGGGUUCCAUGACUCAUCAGUAGCAGGACAAGGGCGGGGCCCAGAGAUAGGCGAGGCCUUAGGACAAGAUCCGUUAGUAUGUGUUUAGCUUAUGUGAUGUGAUGUGAUAUGUUUAUGUGCUAUUAUAUGUUAGUGGGCGAGGCCCUGUGACAGGCGAGGCCUAAGUGAAACAGAUCUGUAUCCGAGCGGGGCUCGAAGCCAGGCGGGGCCUGGAGCGGCGGGGCCGUUGUAGCGGGCGAGGCCCGAGGUAGGGGGGGAGGCCCAGGAUAGCGGGCGUGGCCCAGCGUGUGCAGUAUGUGGUUAUGCAUGGUAUGUGGUAGGGUGGGGAACUCACUAAGCUUCGUGCUUACGGUUUUCAGUUUUGGUUUCAGGUACUUCCGGUAGCGGAGGGAAGAGCUCGGGGGUGAUCGCAUGGCACACACCAUAGAUUAGACAGUCUGGGAAUGUUUUACUCUGACAAUGAACAUGUGUUUUGGAAAAUUAAUACUCUGAUUAUGUUUUGAAUUGGUGACCUUGCUUAAAGAAAUCUUUUAUUAAAAGAAAUUUUUAGUCAUGAAUUUUGGGACGUUACAAGUUGGUAUCAGAGCCUUGGUUUGAGGGAUUCGGGCAUACUCUCGGGUGUGCCUGAACUCAAACUAAGGGGUCGGAUAAAAAGUUUUCAAAAUGAAAAGACAGUUUUCUAAAAAGAGAGUUUUGGGAAAGAAAACAGUUUUAGAAAAGCAAAAAGAAUUCAGAAAGAAAAGAACUUUGAAAAGAAAAAAAUGGUGUGGUGCAUGCAAUCAGCUGGUCUUAAGUAAGUACCCCAAAUUACCCAUACAAGUUUAUGUUAUGAUUAUCAGUUAGUAGAACAGCAUGCUAGAUUAGGACUAAGGAUCUAGGGAGGAUGCCUUAUGUGCCUAUUAUAUGUGCUUUGAGUUGCAUGAUAGUGUUGAUUAGACAGUGGUAGGAUAGCCUGUUUAGGUUAUGCCUGAGUAUAUGAGUUUGUGUUGCAUGCUAGUUCAGAUUCUUGCUAUGUGGAUAUGAUUGCUUAUGUAUGUUAUGGUUAGAUUUUCCCCUUGUCUGAAUGCUGCCUGCUUUGUGCAAUAUGGGAUUCCGAGUGAUGGGAGUAACCAUUAGGUGGAUACGUCACGUCACAUGUGAUCAGGGUUGAAUAAUCUCAGAGUGCUAAAUUUGGCCCUAUUUCGCAGCUCUCGUUUGAGUCCAACCAUUGUAGGGAUGAGUCUUUUACUCGAAGAAUUAUCUGAGCCUUGUCACAUGUGAUGGUGUCCAGUUGAUGGCCAAUUGGCAUCACAAGGAGUCCUUCAGCAGCUGAGGCCUGGUUUGGUGUGAGUCAGAGGUUUCCUUAGGGUAAGCCUAGGAUGAGAUAGUGUUGGGAGCAGUAGUAGUGGAUAAGGGACCUGGUGGAGUCGAAGCAAUUCCNGAGGAAAGUACAGAUAGAUAUGGAUGGUAGUAUGGGCCCGUACUACUGAAAGCAGAGGAUCCGUACUCGAUUCGGGAAAGGCUGAGACAAGACCGAGAACCUAGUAGGGUGAGUGUGUGUCUGGUCUCACAGCAGUGAUAAGUAUUCUGAUAGAGGAUGUAUUAUAUAUUCAGCAUGGUGACAUUGCGAGAGAGACCAGUGGGUGGACCAGGCGCCGGAGAGGGAUCGCUCGGGGUCNAGCAGCUCGAGGAGCGGAUGAGGGAGUUGAUAUCAGCUGAGGUUACGCGCAGUAUUCUAGAUCAGACUCCUGUGAUCUUUGGCACGGUCAAGGAGGGUAUAUUGGAGAUUUUGGAUGAGAGGCUGGGAGCCUUCCGUACCGAGAUGAUGGCAUUGAUGGGAGCACGUACCUUGACAUUUCGAGAGUUCAGGGCUUGCGGGGCACCAGAUUAUCAUGGGGCUAGGGACCCCAUCGCUAGCAGCAGAUGGUUGGUUGAUGUUGCCAAUGCAUUCCGUACGAGCCGGUGUCCUGAGGGGGACAAGGUUAGGCUCGCUUCUUGUCUUCUGAAGAACAGAGCAAGGGAUUGGUGGGAGGAGAUUAGUCAUGCCUUGGGGGAUGAUGUCGCGUUGGAUGCGAUGACUUUGAGCGAUUUCUCGUCCAGGUUCAGGGCGGAGUUUUCGCCGAUUAUUGAGGUGCAGCAGUUGCCACAGGAGUUUCAGGAUUUGACGCAGACCACUGAGACUGUGGCGGAGAUCACCGCCAAGGUCAGGGAGAGGGCUCUUCUUGUACCGCAGUGUGUCGCGGAUGAGGAGAUGAAGAAGGCCCGAUACCAUGAGAUGUUGAGGGAUGAUAUCAGGGUGUUCGUGAUCAGGUCCAGCUGUAAGACGCUAGAAGAUAUGAUUUCUCGAGCUAGAGAGAGGGAAAUUGAUUUGGAGCAGAUCCGGAAGAGGAAGCCGGAUGAGGUUUAGGUAGCCACAGGUUCGGGCAAAAGGCCUAAGGGAUCAGAUUCGAGAUCGAGGGAUUAUCAGGACCGCAGUCGGUGCGGGAAGUGUGGCAGGGCGCACAGGGGUGCGUGUAGGAGUGGUAGCGGUGGUGAUUCUGGCUGCUUCAAGUGCGGUCGGACUGGUCAUUUCAGUAGAGAUUAUACUGUUACCACCACACAGGGAUCAGACUUGAUAUGUUUUCACUGCAAUCAGCGGGGCCACAAGAAGGCCCAGUGCCCCAGUUUGUUUUCAAUAGGACGGGUGAUGACACUUGCCCCUGCAACUUUGAGGAUCACAGACGGCCGUCAGGGCCGUGCAGAGGCGCCUGCGGUAGGAGGCAGGUCUUUUCAGAUGACUACCUUGGAGGCGCGAGCAGCACCGGACGUUGUAGGUAUGCGAUUUUGUUUUCAGUUCUUUUAUUUGUGCAUGAUUAUAUUGUUAUGGUUCUGGAUCAUCAUUGGUUUGAGUAUUUUAUUUUUUGAGCGGUUGAUUGUGAUCGAGUUAUAUGCCAUCUUAAUACCUUGGAUAUUUGAAUGGUAGUUAGGAGAUGUGCUCUAUUAGAGAAGGUUUCAUAGGAUGCAGUAAUUGUAGCAUGCCUGGGAGGGACUUGGUAUGUCUCGCUAGAUCGGAGUUGUAUAAUGUUAGAGAUGGAUUGGUUAGAUCCCUAGCUAUGGUGAGCUUGGGUUCCUCAGCAGCUUGAUUAUGGAAUGGUAGCAAGGAUUGGGAUUCUUUUGAGUAUUGAGCAGCAAGGGGUAAGCAGGAUCGAAGUGGGGGAGAAUCCUCCGAGUGUGCAAAGGUAGGAUCACGCAGACCCAAAAUGAGUGCGCGACCUCCGAGAAGGAAAAGAAGUAGUUCAGCGUUUGAUGGAUUGAGGAUUUCAGGGUUGGGAUUUUGAGAAACUCCCCAUCAGCUAGUGCGUGUGAUGGUGAUGGUUAGUAUGUGGUUGGGAAUUCAGGUUGUGGAUCGCCCGUAGGACUCGAGGGAGUCGGAAUGAGGAUCUUGAGAGCUAAUGGCACAUGGGUGCCUUCGUAUUAGCAGUCAGUGGUAGAAAGUGAUGUAAGACUACGGGGCAGCCGUAGCAUUCACUAACAGUUAGUGGUAGAAAGUGAUGUAAGACUACGGGGCAACUAUAACACUCACUAGUAGUCAGUGGUGGAAGUGUUGUAAGACUACGGGGCAACCAUAGCAUUCACUAGCAGUCAGUGAUGGAUGGUGAUGUAAGACUACUAGUAAGCCGUAGCAUUCCUUAGUAGCUUCGUUAGCGGAGUUGGGGCGAGGCCCUUAUCUCCUAGCGAUCAGAUAGGGAUCAGGAAUGGGUAGUGGAUGAAAGUGAUAGGAAGUUUGCUUGUAUAGCCCUAGAGAGGUGAGACCUUGGGAGAGGCCGCUCCAGGAUAUAGUUGGGUGAGGCCUGUGGGCGAGGCCCGUAUGAGAGUAGCGGUAUAGGUGAGACCUGAGAGUAGGGUUGCUCAGUAGUAUGGCCGGGUGAGACCCGUAGGCGAGGCCCGAGAGAGAGUGGUUAGACAAGUAGGACUAGAAGGAUAGAGGCGGGGGGGACCCGUGGGCGAGGCCCGUGUGUUUUAGCGGCAUAGGGGGGACCUGGUAAGGACCUUAGUGUCAAGAUAAGGGAUCGGGGAUCCAUGGAUUGUAGUGACUGAAUGGCAGAAUAGAUUGCGCAGUUAUAGGUGGUCAAAGUUCCUUCGAAAGUCGCUGGGAGCGACUAGGAGUAGUGUUGGGACUAGCGACCGGUGGGAUCCGGUAAUCCAGAUAUUGGUAGGACGGUAGGGAUUAGGGUGGUCUCAGUUCAUCCGGAAGGCAGAUAAGGAAUAGCAGAAUUUUCAGUCAGUAGUAGUGCGGGUAAGCAGUGUAUGGUGGAAUUCAGUUAGUUGUAUCGAGGGGUGCUCGACACCAAGUUUUGACAGAGAGGAGUGUCAGUGGUUACUGGCGGUGAUGACCUGUACUGGAAGUAGCGGGGGUGAUGGAGUUGGCGAAGGAUAUGACCUUCACAGUGACAGAGGAAAUAGUUGGUUAUGGAGCAUUGCCUUGGGAAGGCAAGGAAUUCGCACAAGGAAAGAAGGGGUGAACCCCUAUAGGUUCAGUACAGUACUCGGUGAGUACCGGAAGGAUUGUCGGUUGAGUAAGUUGUGUUUCCAGGAUGUUCAGGGUCAGGGUGACCUGAGUCUAUUAUCCGCAAGGAAUGAUGUUAGUCAGAAUGACCGGGCGGAAGACCAGCGAAGGUAGGCAGCUGGUGUUGGAAUGAUUAGUUGGGUAUUGAAAGCAUAUCGCAGGCAGUGGCCCAUAGCAAACUUCGAGGAUGAAGUUUAGUUUAAGUGGGGGAGAGUUGUAACACCCAAAGUCAGAAAGGCCAAGAAAGGAAAGGAAACCCUAAGUCUAAGGGAUGACUCAGUAAGUCCAAGGAGGAACUCGGCGAGUCCGAGCGGGAUCCGGGUCGAGGAAUAAGUGAACGACUCGGCGAGUCGGCCAAGGAGACUCGGUGAGUCUGGUCUGUACGAGGAAAUCCCUAAAUUUGGGACUUGGAGCCUAUUUAAGCGCCUCAUUCUCUUCCCUAGGGUUCCUCUACUGCCUCUCUAACCCAGAACACCAAACCCUAGCCGCCAUAUCCGUUGUUGAGCCAAUUAUUGCUUUGAAGAGUGCAUUAAAGCUUGGAGAAGGAAGAAGGGCCUUGGAGGUGCAAGAAGGAGCUAUAGAUCUGGGCUUGGGAAGAUAUUUCUGAACAUUUAAAGGUAAUAAACUAGUUCUUGGAAUCCUUUGCACCAAGAUCUAUGUUGAGUUUUGGGGCUUUUGGCCAUGAUUGGUAUCCAUUUGAGUUAGAAGCCAGAUCUAAAGUUGGAACUUCGGAUCUAAGCAUAUUUUGGCCUUGUGAAGCAUAAAGUAUCAGCCCUUGAGUUGAUUAUGGAGCCUCUUUGCAUUAAACCCUAUUUUAUGGUGUGUUUAGCCUAGAUCUCCUUCUCUACACGUAAAGUUUGCAACUUUACGUGAGGAAUAGGCUUGGGAAGGGUAGAUCUACAGUUUGGGGUCCAUGCAUGACUCAAAAGUCCUCUACAUGUAUGUAGAUCUGAAUGGACUCGACGAUUCCUUUGAGUGGACUCGGCGAGUAGCAUGAAGAUUAGGAGGAAUUUGACGAGUGGGAUAAACAGCUCGUCGAGUCAGAUGAAGUUGGGCAGGAACUCGGCGAGUUGGAAGAACAACUCGGCGAGUCAGUUGAAGAUUGCCUUGGACUUGGCGAGUCUGUUCUUGGACUCGGCGAUUCAGGUCACGAAACCCCAAACCCUUCGAGUUGAGACUCGAAUCAGUGAGUCGAGUGGAGACUCGGUGAGUUGGACAGGUCAGGACUCGGAAAUCGGUAGACUCGGCGAGUCGAGUCGCGAUUGGAAGGACUUUGAGCAUAUGAACUCGGCGAGUCAAUAGGUAGACUCGGCGAGUAGGGUUGACCUAGAAGAUUGACUUUGACCAGGACUUUGACUUUGACCAGAGUUGACUUAGUUGACUGUUGGGGGUCAGUUAGUCUAAGUGUUUCAUUGAUAUUGGUAGCUCGGGGAGCUAGUGGAGCAGGAGUUCAGAGAGUUUCUGGGCAGCAUCCAGAAGGUUAUCAGCAUGUUCAGCAAGUGCAUGUGAGUUUCCCUUUGUGCCAAUGGGUCUACGGUCACAAUGUCGGCCCAUGUAGUUAUGAGUAGNGGAAGGUUGACUUUGACCAGGACUUUGACUUUGACCAGAGUUGACUUAGUUGACUGUUGGGGGUCAGUUAGUCUAAGUGUUUCAUUGAUAUUGGUAGCUCGGGGAGCUAGUGGAGCAGGAGUUCAGAGAGUUUCUGGGCAGCAUCCAGAAGGUUAUCAGCAUGUUCAGCAAGUGCAUGUGAGUUUCCCUUUGUGCCAAUGGGUCUACGGUCACAAUGUCGGCCCAUGUAGUUAUGAGUAGAAGACCCGGGGGUUAGCCCUAGGCACAGUAUGCUAGUAUGAUAUUCGGGACGAGGUCCAAUGAUAGAGGGCGGGUGCCCAAGGAAUGGUUUAUGUGAUAGUUUAUACUUGUUGUCUGUGUGAUACUUGUAUGUGCCUGGUAGGGAGGUGAGUGUGGGCGAGGUCCCGUAUCUCACCAAUAGCAGAGUGUGGAUGGUGUUCCACAUCUCAGUAGCAGCAGAUCAGGGGCGAGGCCCAAGUUAGGGAAGGAGUGAGGGUGGGCUGGGCCCGUACCUCACUAUCAGCAGGAGUAUGGACGGGGUUCCAUGACUCAUCAGUAGCAGGACAAGGGCGGGGCCCAGAGAUAGGCGAGGCCUUAGGACAAGAUCCGUUAGUAUGUGUUUAGCUUAGGUUAUGUGAUGUGAUAUGUUUAUGUGCUAUUAUAUGUUAGUGGGCGAGGCCCUGUGACAGGCGAGGCCUAAGUGAAACAGAUCUGUAUCCGAGCGGGGCUCGAAGCCAGGCGGGGCCUGGAACGGUGAGGCCGUUAUAGCGGGCGAGGCCCGAGGUAGGGGCGAGGCCCAGGUUAGCGGGCGUGGCCCAGUAUGUGCAGUAUAUGGUUAUGCAUGGUAUGUGGUAGGGUGGGGAACUCACUAAGCUUCGUGCUUACGGUUUUCAGUUUUGGUUUCAGGUACUUCCGGUAGCGGAGGGAAGAGCUCGGGGGUGAUCGCAUGACACACACCAUAGAUUAGACAACCUGGGAAUGUUUUACUCUGAUAAUGAACAUGUGUUUUGGAAAAUUAAUACUCUGAUUAUGUUUUGAAUUGGUGACCUUGCUUAAAGAAAUGUUUUAUUAAAAGAAAUUUUUAGUCAUGAAUUUUGGGACGUUACAAAGUACAUUAAUCCUUGGUACAAAUAUUACAUCAACAAAAGUUAUCUCUAAGCUUUCAUGAAAUUGAAGACCUUAUGCCUAACACAACCAUUGUAUCUAGAUAAGAUUUUCCUACUUAUUUACUUUGUUGUGUGCAAAUAUUAAUACACUUGACUUAAGCAUCACCAACAUUUGGACAUAAUUGUUGACGUUGAGGUGGUUGGUUAGAGCAUUAGUCAACUUUAAUAUUCAAGUGAAGACGUAUCAAAUACAAGUGAUUGUAGUUCACUCCUAUAGCAACAAGAGGAGCAGAGGCUUUAAGUAGUUUAUCCAUUUCAACAUGAAACUCUUUUCACACAUGAACGAUCUUAUGACACCUGUCAAAUGCCUCUUAAAAUAUACAAUCAACACUUGGUCAGUAGCUUUCUUCUCUGUGGCCAGAACCAUGACCUCUUCAUUUCCCUAUAUUAAUGAUGACAGGUUCAUAAACUAAAAGGACUGUAAAGUCAAAAUAGUUGACAUUAUGUUGACAUACCUAGUGGUGUGAAGAGAAGAAUAAAUAGAAUGUUUGUAAUAAACCCGCUUUCUUGGGUGAGGAAACCAUGACACUUGUUCAGAAAUGAAACAUCCCAACUAGCACCUAACGACUUUUGCUACAUUGAGAUAUACUAGCAAACAACAUAAGCAAAUCACAUGGAAAAUUAUUACAAUUAAUAAAACUCAUAAAUAAAGUGGUAAAAACAGCCUUGCACACACUCUUGAUUAAAAAAAUAGUUUAUAUUAGUGUAACAUCCCGAUUUCUCGAUAUCAGUUUAAAGUUCUAGAGUCAUGUUUCAAAGACAACUCGACGAGUUGAUAGGCCAACUCGUUGAGUAGUGACCAAAUCAGCCAUGUGGAUUUUAGACCCUACUCGUCGAGUUGGAGGACCCGACUCGACGAGUAGGUGCUGGAAAGUGAAAACCAUAAUUUUUAGGGUUUGCACCCUAUUUAAAGGUCCUUAACUUUCCUCCUCAGCCUCCCUUGUCACCUUCACGUCCAAAAAAACCAACUAGUCUCUAUUCUUGAGUGUGUGAGACCAAAAGAGAGUGUAUUGGAGCAUUCUUAAGGAGUUAAGAGCUUUGAACAAGGGAUAGCUUGUAGAUCCAACUUUUCCAGUGUUGUGACAACAAUAUUGAGUUAUAAAGCUACCACCUUUAUAUUUCAUUGCUUAGAUCUUCCUUUUUGGUAAAGUAAUUGUCAUGUCUAGGGCAUGAUGGGGUCACACUCGGAUUUAAGCUUGCCACAAGGGCAUAGUUUUAGAACUUGACUUCUUAAGGCCUUAUGAACAUAAAUCCUUAAGCUUUAUGAAGCCCUAGCCCUCCUUCAUGUCCAAAACCUUCUCCUAAUGCUAAUUAUGAGUGUUUUAGCUUCAUAGAACCAUGCAUGCAUGUAAAGUUAGCAACUUUAUGUGAUAACAACACCCUAGGAGCAUAGAUCUACUGUUUGGAGCUUUGGAGCAGCUUAAAAUAGUCUGAAUGAGUGAUGGACUGAAGGAGACUCGACGAGUUUCAUGGUUGAAUCGAAGAGUCGGUUGAAGAUUGCCCAUAAUGGUUUUGCAUGGACUCGGCAAGUCAGUAAGAAGACUCGACGAGUCAGUUAGGGUUCUUCCUGACAUUUAGACACGCGUAGACUCGCCGAGUUGGUGGGGAAACUCUGCGAGUUGGCCCAGGGAUUUCACGGUUUUCUGAGUUUUGGAGGAACUCGAUAGGUCAGUAGUUGGACUCGACGAGUUGGGUCAACAUGGACUGUUGACCUUGACUGUUGACUUGGAGUUUGACCAGGGUUAACCAUGUUUGACUUUGGAGGGUAUUUGGUAAAUGGGUAUUUAAGGAAAUGGAUCAUGGGUGGAUAUAGGUAAUGGAGUUUGGGGCAGUAUUUUGAGAGCGUGAUUUCGUGGUUUAGUUCGGCAUUGCAAGGUGAGUUAUCCUCACUAUAUCAACAGGGUCUAAGGCACCAAGGUCAGCCCUUUAUCUGAUUUGUAUUCGGGUAUUUGCUUGAUAUGUUUUUUGAUCUGCUAGAUCUGCAUCCUGGUAGUUAGGAUGGUAUUAUGUUUAGUGACCUGGUUUAGGUCAGUAUCCUGGUAUAUGGGAUGAUGUUAUGUUAGUGACCGGUUAGGUCGGUAUCCUGGUUAUAGGACGGUUGUUGUGUUAGUAAUCAGUUAGUUUGGUAUGAUUAUCUGUUGUAUACAUGCUCGCGUAUAAUAUUUAUGUGCACAUGAUUGUUUGAUUGUUAUGGGGGUUGGGUUGAGGCGGGUCCUGCUUCGUGUUGUAGGCCAACAUACCCAUGGCGGACCGGAAAGACUACAGGCCCAGGAAGGCACAUUGUCCAACCAAUGGCCCAACGAGCGGUCCGGAUAGGCUGAAGGCCCCGAGAGGGUGGUCCAAACGUGCCGAGGCUCGGAGAGUGGGCCAGGUGGACUGAAGGCCCGGUGCGGGCGGUCCAGUCAUACUGUAGACUCAAAGAGUGGACCAGGUGGACUGAAGACCCAGUGCGGGUGGACCAGUCACACAGUAGACUCGGGAUGCAUGGCUGUUCAGUGUUUGUUAUAUGAUAUGAUUAUGGAUUGUAUGAGGUUGGUAUUUUGGGGGUAACUCACUAAGCCUUCGAGCUUACGUUUAUCAAUUUAUGUUUCAGGUACAACGAAUUAACCCAGGAAGACGAAUGUGUGAUCGUACACUUCCCCAUAAUAUGUUUUGGAUUUUCUGGGAUACUCUGAUGUGAAACUAUUUUGGAAACCUUUUUGUAAUAACUAUUGGCAUUUGAAAUGUUUUUAAAAGUUUAAAUUUGGCUUGGAUUUUAUGGGUGUUACAAUUAUUUCAAUUAUCCAAGACGAUUUUAUGUCGAGAUUUUAAGUUAACAUUAAAUCUCAAUUAUUUGUUUGAAUGAUUUUUUUCUUUUAUCUUAGAGAUUUGUUUGAAAUUUAUUAAUUUUUUUUAUAAAUUUGAAUUAAUCAAAGACACAUAUAAAAAUAUCUCAUCAAAUCAAAUAAAUUUAAUAUAUAAAAAAGAUAGUAUCCGAUUAAGUCAAUCUAAAAAUACCAACAUAUAAAUAUAACUCACAAAUCUUGAUGGGAAUAAGAAUCAAACUCAAAAUCAAUCAAAUAAAAAAACCUUUGAUUUGUGUUAUAAGUAUAAAAUAAAUCAGGAUUCCAAAUAAAUAUUACAAUGAAAAAAAACCUAAAAUGUUUGAAACAAAAUAUGAAAUUCGCCAUCACUGUCAAUUUAAAAAAAAAACCUUUAUUAAUACUAAUGGGCUAUUUGGUAGCAUCCUGAUGAAUCAUAUCUGAAUGAUCUAGAUGCCUGGAUGAUCUAGAUGCUCUUUAGGAAUUUCUAUCGGAAUGAUAAAAUAAUGUUUGGUUAGGCAUCUAAAUAUCUGCCUCUUAAUGAGGAAAAUAACCAUUUUAGCCCUCUAAAUUAUUUUUUGAAUACAAAAUAAACAUUAUACAAUAUCCAACAAAUCGGUUAAAACAAAUUGGCUUUUGAUAUUCAGAUUCAUGUGUUUCUUCAUCAACAAUCUCUUUGAAGAGGACUCGUUUUGUUUCUGUUUUUAGAUCAUUAGGCUUUCUUGCUUCUGGAACAUUGAUGGGCCUAUUUUCUUGCUGAAUAUCUUCCAUCACUAGCAACUUCAUCUUGCUCCUAGAUCACAUAUCAACUAAACAAGUUGAAAAAUAACCAAACACAUAUUUUCAUAUAGAACAUUUCAAGCAAACACAAACACAUUUUCAAAAAAAAAAAAACAAAUCAAUUGUUAUUUUCAGAUUUCCAAAGGACAAAAACAACAUCAACUGAACACAUAUAUAGAGCAAGAAGAACAAAGCACAAAAAUCGAUUUCAUACAAAAUCGAGCAGCAAGAACACGAUUGACACCAAUUUCAUGCAAAAUUGCUCAACAAUAACACGAUUGAAGCAACAGAUUCGAGAAAAAAAACCAUACCUGAAAACUUACCGACGACGAGUAGGCGGAGAAGUAGGAGCGUUGUCGAAGGCAUGCAAGGGGAGGCGGCGACGGAGCCAAUAAUUGGAAGUUGUCAACGCUUAAUGAAGAUAAAGAAUGAGGGAUGAAAGGUCGAUCUCUAGAAAGAAGGAGAAGAAAAAAGAGUCGGCCGCAAUUUGUUGUUAGGGCAAUGGUAGAAGAUGAAAAUUUUUUUAUUCAGACUUCUCCUCAUAUCUUAACGAAUCAGAUUAGUUUUAGCUACAUCUGACCGAUUAAGAGCGUAAAAAUGUUUCAACCAAACACUCUGAAUCUUAAUGAUCCAAAUGCAACCUCUUAAUGAGACCAUUAAGAGGCAAAACAAACAGCCCCUAAAUAAAAAAAACAAUAUAGUUUCCAUAAAAAUCGAUUUAAAUAUUAAAGAAGAGAAGAAAUCAGCAUUUAUACGACGUAAUAGUUUUUUAAAAUUAAAAAAAAAAAAUUAUUCAUAUUAUAAGUAUAAAAUACAUUUUAUUCUUAACUCUCAUUUGUAAUUUGCCAUAUGUUUUCAUAAGAGUUUAUGGUAAUAACUUAAAUUUUUAUUUUUCCAUAUACCAUUUUUCAUUUACAAAAUUGUUUGUGCUUAUUUUUUUUUGUUAUAUUAAAAUUUAUUAUAUUUUAUUAUAUAAUAUAUAUCAUAAUUUUUUUCAUUAAUUUACAUAUAUCUUAUUUUUACGUGUUUAUUUGAAACAAUCGUUAUAAUGCAAAAUAAAUACCACUUCUCCAUAUUAAUUAUUAAUUUUUAUUAAAAUACUUUAUUAAUUAUUAUAAUUUUUAUCUAUUGAUAUUCGUUUAAUUUUGUAAGUUUUAUUUUCACAAAGUAUAACCUAAUUAAUUUCUCAUCAUCUAUAGUAAAUGAAAGUUUUUUUUUUCACAUGCAAUCACUAAUUAAUUUUGACACUUGUCAUUUUAUAAUAUUUUUUAAAUAAAUAAUAUCCACAUAUCAAUUUAUGAUUUUUNNNNNNNNNNNNNNNNNNNNNNNNNNNNNNNNNNNNNNNNNNNNNNNNNNNNNNNNNNNNNNNNNNNNNNNNNNNNNNNNNNNNNNNNNNNNNNNNNNNNNNNNNNNNNNNNNNNNNNNNNNNNNNNNNNNNNNNNNNNNNNNNNNNNNNNNNNNNNNNNNNNNNNNNNNNNNNNNNNAUCAAAUGUAAUAAAUAUUAUUUUAAAAUUUCAUUUUAAAAAAUAUUUAUUAUUACAUUUUAAUAUUUUAUAUUCUUUAAUCAACCGUGUAAUACAUUUUAAUACAUAGAUUUUCCAUCUAAUAAAUAAAUAAAAUGUAACCAUUUUAAUCACUAAAUAAUUAAUCAACCAAAGAUUAAAACCCACUGAUAAAAAGGAAACUAAAUCAACACCAAAUUGAAAAUUAAACCAUAUAUUACUAAAUUAAUUCACAGAGAGUUCGACAUCAAUCAAAUAUUAUCUCGCACUCAAAUUCACAAAACUCACUUUCCAGGUACAAAGUUUGUAGCAUAUGACCAUGCAUUGUUUGCAACAGGGUCAGCAAGGUGGUCAGCGAGGUUCUCCAAUGGUCCCUUUCCGGUAACAAUGGCUUGAACAAAGAAUCCAAACAUAGAGAACAUGGCUAGUCUACCGUUCUUGAGCUCCUUCACUUUCAGCUCAGCAAAUGCCUCUGGGUCAUCAGCCAGACCCAAUGGGUCGAAGCUACCACCAGGGUAAAGUGGGUCAACUACCUCACCAAGAGGUCCACCAGCAAUUCUGUAACCUUCAACUGCACCCAUCAAGAUCACUUGGGUAGCCCAGAUGGCUAAAAUGCUUUGUGCAUGGAUCAAACUUGGGUUCCCCAAGUAGUCAAGACCACCCUCACUAAAGAUCUGGGAUCCAGCCUUGAACCAUACAGCCUCACCAAACUUGACACCAUUACGCGCCAAGAGUUCGGGGAAGACGCACCCAAGAGCUCCGAGCAUGGCCCAUCUGCUGUGGAUGACCUCAAGCUCACGGUUCUUGGCGAAUGUUUCAGGAUCAGCAGAGAGCCCAGCAGUGUCCCAACCGUAGUCACCGGGGAACUCACCGGUCAGGUAAGAUGGGGCUUCGCCGGAGAAUGGGCCAAGGUACUUAACACGGUCGGGGCCGUACCAUGGACUUCCUGAUGGUGCGACUUUCUUGACUGCUGUCUUCCUCAUGGAAACCCUUCCAUUUCCGAUUAUUUCUGAACCAGAUGGUGCUGCUUUCACUGCCUGUCCGACGAAAGAAGAAGAUAGAGCCAUGGUGGAAGCUGCCAUUUUUGUGAGAUUUAUUUUGAAGAUGUUGUGAUGGUUAUACUUAUGAAGAUGGGUAGAACUGGAAGUAGAUUUAUAGGGUAGUUUUUGGAUCAGAUAGGUGAUCAAUGCUUAUCUUGAUACAAUCUUUAGCUUCAAUUUGAUUGGCUACAGAGAUUCUUGUGGGUCCGUAAUCUGUGGUGUGAGUUCUCUGGCCCCCCUGAGAUAUUUUGAAGGGGCAGGAUAUUCGUGGCUCUGGUUUAUUGAGCCAAUGACUGGCUUUCACUCACUACUCUUAGUGGUGGUUUUUUAUAAUAUGCUGUAAGCUUGUAACCAUCCAAUCGUCUAAGUUUAUAACUGACCUAUUAUUACAAAUAUAUACUAACCAGGCAAAACUUUUGGUUAUAAAAGUUAAUGUGACCGAGAGACUAACACAAAAAAUUAUAACAGGAGUAGUUAAUAAUCCGCGAUUUACCGCUAUGCCGAGAGCCGUAGGGAGGAUCCACCAUUUACCCCUAAGUGUGCAGAAUGCCUUUUUUUUUUUAGUAUUAAAAUAUCAAGAUCGGACACGCGUUGUAAAAUUCUUGUUCGAAUUGUUUGCAAACUCUUCGUCACAAUAAGGGGAGUUUAAAUAUGCGUUUUAAUAUAAUAACAUUGGCAUUGAUUAAAUGUUAAUAUUCAAUUAUCAUCCCACAUGAGAAUGAAAUAUAUUAAUGAUUUAUUAAUCUAAAAACAUUAUCAUCCCACAUGAGAAUGAAAUAUAUUAAUGAUUUAUUAAUCUAAAAACAAUUUUUUUAUGUCAUUAUUUUUUGGGGUUACAGUCGAGCUUGGAGGAUCUCGACUUUAGGUAUGCCCAUUUUAUUGAGAGGAAUUACUAAUAAAUUUCGGAAAGAGGAAAAAAAUAUGAUCGUGGACAUAUGGUUUAGGAAUAUUUUCAUGUUCGUUUGACACAAGUAAAGUUCUUGAAAUGGGUGCUUCAGUUUGUACGAGCGGCUAACUUGAUAAAGUUCAAAGACAUAAAGGCAAUUUUCAAAAACUCACAUGAUCAGUUAUCGAACAAGCAUGUCGUACUAGUGUGCCCACUACACAUGUUAGUUAGCGGUUUCAAUAGGAAAAGAGCAUCAUUAGCUGUCAAUGAUAAUAUUCUUUCUCUAGUACUCGAUCCUUACGACUUUUAUAUUUAUAUCAUGUAAUUUAGAAUUUAAUUUAAUUUCUAUUAAUCUUCGAUUACAGUUUAUGUGAUCUAAUUCAUGGAUGUUUUGGCACUACAUAUCUCAAUGGAGUAUGCCAGGGAAAUUUUGGUCAUAACAACAGCCUCCAUGGGUUUAUAUAUAUUUUUAAGGUACAUAUAACAUCCUAUUUUUAGGCUUAGAAAUUUUGGUCAUUUAUAGUGAAAAUAAUUUUUUUUAAUAAAAAAAUAAAAAAGGAAAAAUAAAAAUAAAAAGAAUGACUGAAUGAAUACAUGAGCUAAUAAAAGGUUUAGAUCAAAUGUUUAAAGAAAAUAGCGAAUUUAUACUUAAAAUAGGAAAUAAAUAAGGAAGGGUCAGUGGUGGCAACUUUGGAAAACUUGUUUAAUUUAGAUCUAACUAGACAAUUUAUUUGUAAAGAGUUAAAAAUGUAACGAAAUGAUACUUAUAAGCUUAAGAGGGAGUUUUUCAGUUGGAAAUGUUGUUAGAAACCCUUAUUGGAAAAAAUUAGGACAAAAGGACUAAAAUUGUCAAGUUGAUGAAACUUGUGUUAACCUUAAUGUAACGACCCUAAAAUCUUAAAUUAUGUGUUUAAUUACUUUGUAUCAUUUUGUUGAAAAAUGAACAUUAAUGAUGCAAUAAUCAAUUUGUUAGUAAAUUUCAUUGUAUAUCCUUACAUUUAUCAUGUUAUAAUCGAAAAUAUAGGACAUUUCAGCAAAAAAUAACCCUGUAGGAAAGUCGCAUUACACCUCGAUAUAUUCGUGUGGAUAUAAAUUCUAUGAAAAUCCAAAUUUGUAUGACGAAGUUAUAGUCAAUAUAAGUUGGAAGUACAAAUUUUAAUGUUUAAAUGUGUAUGUUNNNNNNNNNNNNNNNNNNNNNNNNNNNNNNNNNNNNNNNNNNNNNNNNNNNNNNNNNNNNNNNUAUAUAUAUAUAUAUAUAACAUCUCAAAACCAUAAUAACCAUAACAUAAAAUCAGAGUUUCAAAACAUAUUAUCUCUCUAAACCAUAACAAUCACUGGAUGAUGUGUAGAGUCACGUGUAACAUCUCGUUUAAAAUUAGAUAAAUAAAAUAAAAUAAGUAAAUAAAUUAGAUAAAAUAAGUAAAUAAAUAAUAAACCCUAAAACCUCAAGAUGAAUUUUAUAUUUUUAUGUUAGCCUUAAAUCCAUAAUAAUUAUCAGAGUAUUAGCGCAAUAAGUUAAAUGUUAUUAAUUCUGGAAAUAGGGGUUUAAAAUGUAAAUUUCGAACUAGUUAAGAAUAGAUUUGUGGAAGCUGGGGAUUGUUUGGUAAUUUGGACUUGAAUUGAAAGGAUUAUUGGAAACAGGUAUAGAGUAAAUUACAGAUUUAAUUUGUAAAGGAAUUGAGAUGGAGGGACUGAAAAUAUAAGAAAGGGACUAAUGUUUGAAGAGAUAGGCAUGACUUAAACCCAUUCCCCCUCCACCCUCUUGCUACUCGGUUGCACCCAUAUAAACCCUAACCCUAAUAUCUUCUCAGCCGCCACCUUAUCCCUCCAUAUCUCCAGUCGCUUCCAUCACCUGUGUCGCCGUCAUGAACCACUGAGCACCACUGCCGCUGCUCCCACUGCCGAUGAAAACGAAGAUCAACGUUUGGACACCGUGACAGUGGGGAAGUAGGAAGAAAGGAAGCUCGUGGUUGUUAUUGCUGUUAUUCUCGGUUAGGGGUCGCAAAACCUUUCUCUUCUCCGUUUCCUUUUGUUGCUACGUUGUCAUCGUCAUCGCUCCAUGUGAGGGUGGUUGUGUUUGUGUUUUGUGAGUGUAGGUGUGUGUUGCUGCUGUGGCAAGUUGGAGAGGUGUGUGUGUCUUUUGUUGGCCAGAAAAACGAAGAGAAUCACCAUGGCAACCAACCAUGGUGGUUUUCACCGUUCUGGAGCCACUAGCCACCACCCUAGGUGGCUGUGUGUGUUGGAUUGACAUUUCUUCUGUACCAGGAUGCUUUUGAUAGUGUUUGGCCUAAAAUUAUAACUACCACCAUUAAAAAGUGGUGGCUGUCGCCUCCUACCGCCAUGGACCGCCGCCGACCACCAAUGCCCGAGGUGGCAGUGGGUGGUGUCUGACUUACUAAACAUUAAAUAACCUAAACAUCUAACCUUAGACCGAGUGGUACGUGUUUGGGUUGGAAACUCUUACUAGGCUUUAGAAAAUCCUAA
This 21729-nucleotide long non-coding RNA is filed under the name Lactuca sativa (garden lettuce). RNAcentral's name for it is "long non-coding RNA (LSAT_LNC003408)". Lineage: Eukaryota; Viridiplantae; Streptophyta; Magnoliopsida; Asterales; Asteraceae. The record is from RNAcentral.